This 1638-nucleotide ribosomal RNA is filed under the name Salmonella enterica. Its description in RNAcentral is "partial 23S ribosomal RNA". It matches the Rfam family "Bacterial large subunit ribosomal RNA", at positions 694 to 2313 of the family's 2925-position model. Lineage: Bacteria; Pseudomonadati; Pseudomonadota; Gammaproteobacteria; Enterobacterales; Enterobacteriaceae. The record is from RNAcentral. RNAcentral also lists the same sequence under 1 other name.
GUUAAGUUGCAGGGUAUAGACCCGAAACCCGGUGAUCUAGCCAUGGGCAGGUUGAAGGUUGGGUAACACUAACUGGAGGACCGAACCGACUAAUGUUGAAAAAUUAGCGGAUGACCUGUGGCUGGGGGUGAAAGGCCAAUCAAACCGGGAGAUAGCUGGUUCUCCCCGAAAGCUAUUUAGGUAGCGCCUCGUGAAUUCAUCUCCGGGGGUAGAGCACUGUUUCGGCUAGGGGGCCAUCCCGGCUUACCAACCCGAUGCAAACUGCGAAUACCGGAGAAUGUUAUCACGGGAGACACACGGCGGGUGCUAACGUCCGUCGUGAAGAGGGAAACAACCCAGACCGCCAGCUAAGGUCCCAAAGUCAUGGUUAAGUGGGAAACGAUGUGGGAAGGCCCAGACAGCCAGGAUGUUGGCUUAGAAGCAGCCAUCAUUUAAAGAAAGCGUAAUAGCUCACUGGUCGAGUCGGCCUGCGCGGAAGAUGUAACGGGGCUAAACCAUGCACCGAAGCUGCGGCAGCGACACUGUGUGUUGUUGGGUAGGGGAGCGUUCUGUAAGCCUGUGAAGGUGUGUCGUGAGGCAUGCUGGAGGUAUCAGAAGUGCGAAUGCUGACAUAAGUAACGAUAAAGCGGGUGAAAAGCCCGCUCGCCGGAAGACCAAGGGUUCCUGUCCAACGUUAAUCGGGGCAGGGUGAGUCGACCCCUAAGGCGAGGCCGAAAGGCGUAGUCGAUGGGAAACGGGUUAAUAUUCCCGUACUUGGUGUUACUGCGAAGGGGGGACGGAGAAGGCUAUGUUGGCCGGGCGACGGUUGUCCCGGUUUAAGCGUGUAGGUGUGUGUUCCAGGUAAAUCCGGUUCACUUUAACACUGAGGCGUGACGACGAGGCACUACGGUGCUGAAGCAACAAAUGCCCUGCUUCCAGGAAAAGCCUCUAAGCAUCAGGUAACAUCAAAUCGUACCCCAAACCGACACAGGUGGUCAGGUAGAGAAUACCAAGGCGCUUGAGAGAACUCGGGUGAAGGAACUAGGCAAAAUGGUGCCGUAACUUCGGGAGAAGGCACGCUGACACGUAGGUGAAGUGAUUUACUCAUGGAGCUGAAGUCAGUCGAAGAUACCAGCUGGCUGCAACUGUUUAUUAAAAACACAGCACUGUGCAAACACGAAAGUGGACGUAUACGGUGUGACGCCUGCCCGGUGCCGGAAGGUUAAUUGAUGGGGUCAGCGCAAGCGAAGCUCCUGAUCGAAGCCCCGGUAAACGGCGGCCGUAACUAUAACGGUCCUAAGGUAGCGAAAUUCCUUGUCGGGUAAGUUCCGACCUGCACGAAUGGCGUAAUGAUGGCCAGGCUGUCUCCACCCGAGACUCAGUGAAAUUGAACUCGCUGUGAAGAUGCAGUGUACCCGCGGCAAGACGGAAAGACCCCGUGAACCUUUACUAUAGCUUGACACUGAACAUUGAGCCUUGAUGUGUAGGAUAGGUGGGAGGCUUUGAAGUGUGGACGCCAGUCUGCAUGGAGCCGACCUUGAAAUACCACCCUUUAAUGUUUGAUGUUCUAACGUGGACCCGUUACCCGGGUUGCGGACAGUGUCUGGUGGGUAGUUUGACUGGGGCGGUCUCCUCCUAAAGAGUAACGGAGGAGCACGA